This 71-nucleotide transfer RNA is filed under the name Actinomycetes bacterium. RNAcentral describes it as "Actinobacteria bacterium tRNA-Asp". It matches the Rfam family "tRNA". From Rfam's summary of the family: Transfer RNA (tRNA) molecules are approximately 80 nucleotides in length. Their secondary structure includes four short double-helical elements and three loops (D, anti-codon, and T loops). The record is from RNAcentral. Lineage: Bacteria; Bacillati; Actinomycetota; Actinomycetes.
GGGACCGAGCGGGCGACCGGAACGCCGGCCUGUCACGCCGGAGGUCGCGGGUUCGAGUCCCGUCGCUCCCG